RNAcentral lists this long non-coding RNA (36096 nucleotides) under Xyrichtys novacula (pearly razorfish). Lineage: Eukaryota; Metazoa; Chordata; Actinopteri; Labriformes; Labridae. The record is from RNAcentral.
AUUGUUCUCAGCCAGUCAGACCAUCGUUCUGCCCAUGAAUUUCCUUCAACAACAAAAACAACAACAACAACAACAACAACAAAAAAACAGAUUCUCCAGCGCAACAUCUGAGGAAACAUCAUCAACACUUGGAGACUGCAUCAGGCAAAACUCUGCACUCAACAGUGAGUUCACCCUGUGUGCUUAUGACUACAAUUAGUGCUUUUGUUAUCAGUUGCAGCUUUUAUAGAUGCUUUUGUGAGAAUUCAUUCUGAUGAAUUCUGAUAGAAAAUGAACUCUAUUUUGAUUCUGUUAACCCAGCCCUCACACAGUCUCUCUUUCCUUUUGUUCAGAAUGAAAUAAAAAUAUCUAAUAUGAUGUAAACCAUCCACCAGAAAUCACAGCUACAUUUAAAGGAUUUGAGGAAAAAUAGAAAUGGAGAGAUCGUUGCUGACUGUGACACAUUGAUCUAUUUUAAAUGUGUGAAUUUUUCAUUUCAAAGCUUAAACUGAUUGUGUCUCUACAAGAGGAGACACAACCUUACCAGCAGAGGGUGCUCAAUGUACAGGGAAUGCUCAACAGCGGCCACUGCAGGGGUUGAACGUCCUCAUCAAGUUAGAUCUCAAUUUCUUUGACAGUAUGUUCAGCUCUGAAAAAUGUUUCUUUAACACAUAAAAUGUGUCAUCAAACACUUCAGUUUAUCUACAACAGACGGUAACUUACCCAGAACCUGAAAUUCAUGAGUCAGAGUGCAGUUUGUGCGGGGUGUGUAGCAGCAUUGUGUUCCACUCCUUUUUUUUAAUGAACAGAGUUUCAAAAAGCAUGUCCUACCUGAUCACACAAACACUCACCUGUCAUCCUCGAGUAAUCAUCAAAUCAUUACCUGCUUUAGUAUGUCCGGAAAUAUUUUGAAGACGUCACUGCACUAAAUACCUUAUCAUCUGGAGGUGUCUGGGUAUCUAAAGUGUGACUGAGUACAGCUUUGUAAGAUGCCAUAGCUGCACUAAAAUGAGAUUUCUGGCAUGGGACCACUUUGAUACUCUGAAAAUACAGUGAUUGGUUAGAUUUGGGAUCACUGUUGUUGUAUAAUGACUCAAAUUUCUGAUCUCAGCUCAGUAUUUCGAAUGCAUUGGUGACAGAAAGUGAUGAUCUGCCACAGAUGUGAUAAUACUGCAGCUGAAUACCAAAUCCAAGUGUUUUGAGACAUAGCAUGAGGGCAUAUUGAAAUAUUUUUAUGUAUUGUUUCUGGAUAUAAGACAUCUGGAUUCGCUGGUCUAUAUGAGGGGGAUUUCUCUCACCACUUGUCAUAUAAAUCUCCAAAUAUGUCUCAGAUAUGAUGAAGCCAUUUCAGCAUCCUCCUCCUUCUCGUGUUGCCUCCACGAUGGGGAAUCAUGACUGUGCGACUGAAUGGCACUUAAAUAAAUCUUGACAAGUUACUUUGAGUUUGAGCUAUGAGCUGACCAUCUACAUGCAGCUCAACAGAUUUAUACUCGACCAGUGUCUCUCAAUGUCAUGUACCAAGGCUGUCACCACAUUAGAUUUACACCUUAUGGUAAAAGAAGCCAUAAAACAUCCUGAUAAAAACUUUUUAUAAGUAUUUAUGGAAAACCUUAAAAUAAAAUAGCCCAAAUCAGUGAGAAAAGAAAACAAGGAUGGAUCAAAACACGACCUUAUAACCUUCAAUAAGAAACACAGUGAACCUACGUGUCCUCAUCAAUUUCUAUUAAUAUACACAGUUAUAAUUCAUCACCAGCACUGGACAAGACAUUAUGUUAUUUAAUGAUUUCUUUUUGUCUCACAUAUAGGUGUCUAUAUUCUCUGCAUUGUCAAACUAUGCCUUUAUUUUGAAGUUUGCUCCCUCUGGUAGAUUAUAAAUUACAGAGCUGGGUUAAUACAGUGAAAAGAACGGUUGAAAGAAUGGAUUUUUAAUUAAUUACUAAUCUAAACAUUUUUUGGAUUCACGAUUAAAAGAGUCUUAUCAUCUCUCUGAUGGCUGCAUGCUUCAUCUUAUCCAACAGCUUUACAAAGCUUCCCCGCAGUAAAUUCGUGUUAUUUUUUUUAUUAUUUAUUAUUUUUAUUAUUGUGUUUGAGACUUCACAAAUGUUAUCAAUAUACAGAAUCAAUAUUCUUCCCAGUACAGAACCUUGGGAAACCCCACGCUCAACCUAACAGUUCUGACUGAACCUCAUAGCAGUCUUCUCCUUCAGCUGUCCUCUGUCUUAUGGCCUCUGUCAACCAGCCUUAAGGACCGCUACUAUGAAGCCGCAGUACUACUUUAUGCCUAUAUUCCAAAAAAAUAAAAAUAAAUUAAAAAAAAUUGAUAAUAAUAAUAAUAAUAAUAAUAAUAAUAACUUUAUUUGUAUAGAACAUAAAAAAAAAGAUGUUUACAAAGUGCUUUGACAUGUAGUCGUAGAGCACAUGGAAAAAGACAAAUAAAAACAAAAAGCUCAGUUAAAACAGAAUUGAAGGCCAUUUUCAUGUCAUAAGGAACCCAGACAACACAAGAACCAUGCAACAUAAAAUGAGACCAUGAGGACCAAAAUAAAAACAUUAAAUAGUUAAGAAAAAAGGAAAAUGCAGUUAAAAGGGAGGAAGAAAGUGGAAACAGGAUACUAAAUAUAAAAGGCAAUAUCAACAAUAAUAAUAAAAUAAUAACAGGUAAUCUGAUAAUAAAAGUCAUAAUCAAAUAGAACAACAGAAAUGAGCAAGAGAUAAAACAAUAAAAGGCCCAAAAGGUUAAUUAAGAAAAGAGUACAAGUUUAACAAAAGCUAAAAAGACGGUAAAGCAGAAAUACGAUAGAGGUAAAAGAGAUAAAAGAUGACAGAUAAAAGAUAGAGAUAAAAGAUAAAAAAUAAAUGGCGGCAUCACUUAAAAGCAAGUCUGUAAAAGUGAGUUAUAUAUCAUAUAUUAUAUAUAUAUUAUAUUGUUUUUAAAAGACAGUUAUUGUUGAUACUGUUAUAUUGUGACAGUCAGUGCACAAACACAAGUAUGAAUUCAUGUAUCUACCAUGAAUCUAUCAGUUUGUGCUUCAUGCUGAUCAGUGCUCAUCUGCAGAUUUAGACAACUAGCAUUUUUGAUCACAAAAACAAUCACUCCAACUUCAAGUUUCUUCAUUACAUGUGCCUAAACAUAAGAAUUUCUUAAAGUGUGUGGAAAUAUUGCUUUGUUUCUUUAGAACACUAAUGUUGUGUUAUAUGUGACCUCUGUUUAAAAGAAAUCAUUCCCAAAUCUCACACAAAAAGAGCAUUAUAACCAGCUCAAAAUCAGUUAAUUAUUACUUCUAUAUAUUGUAAGUGACAACUGUGUCAAGGACCCCAAAAAAAACUAAACCCUCCCUUCCCCCGCACCCCCACUUAUCCUAAAUCUUGUAGUUGUCUGUUGAUAUGUGUCAUUGAUCCUCCAUUCAUUCCUGGACCAGCCCAGCUGUCAAUCACUUCCACCUCACUGCUCCCCCCAACGGCUGCACUCAGUCCCACUGCAGCUCCAGACGUCCAUCUGAGCUCUUUUAUGCAAUCCACCCCUUCACUGCUACGUGACGGCAUGGGAGACCAGGCGCUGACCCUGAAUCAGUUCCUGUUGCAGCACUUGGGGAGGGUGGAUGCAGAGAGGGUGAAAAAGAAAACAGAGAGAAAGGGGAAGCCAAUCAUCACAUCACCUCCUUAGCCAGACAGAGCAGAUCUCAGAGAUUUAAAUGUUGAUAAUUAAAAAAUAGGAGCAUAUUGUUUAGCCCCCAGGGCAGACUCAUACAGUAGAGAAGCUACGCCGGAGGAGAGGGGGGUGGGGUCACCUCUGCUGCCACCAACAGAGAUAUCCAAUAGAGGCUGCAGGGGCUGGGGGCGGGGGCCAUCCAUUUCAACAUCCAGGGAUUAUGCAGCUCAAUCAGACUCUGGCAGAUUAUGUCUGAACCAAAACAGACUCAGCCAGGGAUGGAGAUUAACAACUAUUUCCAAAUAACUCUGUUGCAUGAAAACAAUCAGCUUUGAGAUUAAGAGGAGAGCGAGAGGCUUCAAAUGGCCCACAGAUGUAAAAGCGAUGGUUUGGGAGGAUAAAUCUGUCCUGAAAUCCUUUCAGACGCAAUGGUUUCAAUAUGUUUCUGAGGUUAGAGUGUAAUUGGAUUGAUUUUACUAAUCCAAAAAAUAUUCUCGGAAAGCUUCUAAGAAAAAAAAACAAUCAGAGUCAGCAAAAACCUGUCCUUCAGGGACGUAAUUAAAAAUCCCCACCCUGUCACGAACACUAAUCUGGGUUAAAUGGUUAAAUGCAGAUUGAUCUUUAAAGCAGGGAUAAAAUAUGAAACUGAUAACAAAUUGGUCUUUGCUCUGGUUAACUUUUAUUUGUUAGUAACUGCAUUAGAUUAAUCUCCCCUUCAGAGUGCUGCAUCGAUGCUUCAUCAUCCAAGAAAAGACCAAUGUGGGAACACAACCCAAGGAGAAAAUCUGAUGAUCCAGUAAUCCAAAAUCUAGAAUCUGACCUCAAGAUAUCAUGAAAUAAUCUCAAUGGAACCUCCUAUACUGGCUGUCAGAAGAAAAAAGUUUAAGGUGAUGCUCGCAGGAUCAGAUUAAAAGUAAAGGUCCUUUCACACCGGGACUGUCUUUUUCGUACGAUUAUUUCGGAUGUUAAUAUUUUUUUUCAAACCCAUAUUCUGUCAAUACAAGUGUUCACACCAGAGACGUUUUCCCGUCCUGCGAUAUUGCGACAUUUAUUUUUUUUGGAUCAUGGUCGAUUUUCUAAAGUUUCACAUAUUGUGUGUCCACGUCUGACCAAUCAGAUUGCGUGUUGUUGCGACGACAGAUUCACCGGUAUAUCCAACAUGGCCGACCAGCAGAUUGUUUACGUUUAUUGUUUGAUAAAAGACACAAACAUUACAAAGAUAACAACCUUAACGACAACUUGUGGAGAGUCAUAGCGUUGGAUCUCUCAUAUGACAAUAGUUAGUGUGCUUUAACAGUUUGCUAAACGUCUUUGUUUUAACUUUCAUCUGUGCUAAGUAACUUUAGCUCAUAAACUAACCUGUUCAGAUACAGCAUGCCAUAUGUAUUUUCACUGCCUCAAACUCAAUGUGCAGGCCUAACUUUCUUAAAAAAUAAAAUAAAAUACAAAUAUUGUACUAAAACAAUCAAAUAGUAAUUCUGUGUAAUUAAUUAGUUGAGAGUAGAGGGCAGUAUUGGUUCUUAAUCUGUUUUUUAAGGCAAAAUUGUGGAACUGUUUGCCAACUGAGCCGGCACAACAACAUAACUGUAGUGUUUAGUCAAGGGUCUUAAAUCCUGAUGGAACAAGAAACAACUCUGCUCUGUGGCCUGCAACAUCAGCAGACAUGUCAGGAGAGGAUUUACUGUUUGGAAAUCCUCUAACAUUCAUCAUUGUUGCAUUCACCACUGAGAUCUCAUACAUUAAUGCGUUAAUGUCAUUCUGAAAAGCAGAAUCACAUGAAUGUGUUUAAUCUCUGGAGUCUGUCACAGGGCUGGUGGUGUGUACAAAACAUGAACAUUGAACAUCAUUGGAAAUAAUUAAUUGCUGACACUGAGGUAAGCAGGGUUAGGUAAGACAAGUUGACCGCAGAGAUCCAUACAUAAACAGAGCAAACUCAAAGUAAAACUGCAGUGAUUAAAAAUGUAGGCAUUAAUUAUUGUGUUUAAGAACAAACGAGGUAAAAAUGAGACAUAAUUAAAAAUGAGACAUUUAAAUAUGAAAAAAUGGUCAAAGUUUAGAAGUGUACAAGGGUAUUGUUGCUUCAUCUUUAUCUUUUACUCAAUACGACAAAAGGCAGCCUUUUUUUCUAUAUUUGUAAUAAUCAAUAAAUGAAGAAAUAUCAUCCUUAUUGUAAUUUUCUGGGCCAUGAUAACAGUGAGGAUAGAACCUGAUAUUGUGACAGCCCUCAUCUGUUUUCUUUUGUGCUAAUCACAGCUGUUUGCAGACACAGGACAACAACGUUCCAGGUGUUUUGUCGAAUAAUUCAAGAUUUACAACUGUGACAUACCUGCUAUGAAACUUUGAGCAGUGGUUCUUAACUGGUCCCACUCUGGGACCCACACUUUCCCAUGGUCCUUAAGUCGCGACCCAUUUUUACAGAAUUCAAACUAAGCAAAUUUAAUUUUAUAUAUAAAAAAAAACCUUUAAAGACUCUAAUCUUUAUCAUAAAUCCUCUUGUUUUAUUGAGUAAAGUGCAUUUCAGAGCACAUGAAGGGGACAACAUGAGGACGACAACAACUGAAGUUGCUUGUUCCAAAAACAUCAAAUAUCUAAUUAAUAUUGCAUUAAAUAUUUACUUUUUUGACCAGCUGUUCGGGACCCAUCCAGAACAUGUCCGUGACCCACUUUUGGGUCAGGACCCACCAGUUGAAAACCACUGCUUUGAGUGAGGUUUAGGAUGCCAGCUUCUUGUUUGCUUGUUAUGUGUUAUUUUGUUCAUGGAAGUCUAUGUAUCAACACCCCAUCAUUAUCAUCAGGUGUCCAACAGGACCCAGCAUGAAACAGCUGUUUGACAGUCUGCUAAAAUAAGUCUCACCUGCAGUAGCUGUUUGGUGUGUACUUCUCUAAAGGCUGAGGAUCCUUUGGUGAUUGAACCUCCUGAUAGCUGUGACAGGCCUCCAAAUACAGGAAGAGCCCUUCAGUGUGCUUAAGUCAGGGACAGAGGUGUUAUUUAAAAACUUAUGCUGAUUCAUUUUCAUUUUUUUCCUUCAGCUCACUCACCCAGGUUAAGAAAUGCUGGGAUAUCCUCUGGUAAAACAUCAGAUGUAUUAGAGAUUUGAAUUCAAAGGCCAUUCAGACACACAGAAACAGCUGAAGAACAAUGAUUUUAUCAUGAUACUUGUUUAACUCACAUUAUUAUGCUGGAAUUGGAUUAACCUCCAUGUUUCUGAGAGUGUUCAGUGUGUGUCUCUGCUGCGCUGUGAGUGUGGGGACUGUGAAAUAGAGCUGCAGGCCGACUGAUGAGUGACACUCUGAAUGUGCAUUCCACUUGAUUAGCUCCGUGCUUCAAUUCACUGAUGGUAGUCCUUUCAUCCUAUUAGCUCCAAAUUCCUAUAACGGGGUCUCUAAAUGCAUGGGCCCCAAAACCAGGGCCGGCCCCUGCUGGGAGGGCAUAUGGGGUGCUUUGUUGGCAGGAAGGGAGUGUGUGUGCAGGGUCCACCAAUCACUGCCCUCGCCUGGGGAGUUAAACAAAUUGAUUGGCAGGCAAGUGGCGGCCAGUUCCAGACACUGUGGUCCCUAUUCAUCCCAACACAGAGCCCAAAGAGCUCUGCGGUGAGCCAGCUGAAAGGCUGGAGGAGUCAUAAAAGAGGACUAGUUUAUUCUUUAAACAUACACUUCCACAUUUGGUUACAACACACCACCACCGAGCCUGAAAUCCUCAGUCUGCUCCCUUUACAAAGUGGUUUUCGGGAUUCAUCUGUGAGUCACAGCAGCAGGCUGGAAAGAGGUUUACGAGGCUGAUCCUCUAUAGGAUCAAGCAGAAAGUGUGUUUUCAAAAUGUUUUGGUUUUAACUCAGGCUACACUAACAGUUCACAGUCUGAUUUUCUGAACAGUCUAUAUUAGCUGACAGCCUCCAGUAUACGCUACUUUUCUGAUUGUGUUUCCAACUCAAUUUCCCCAAAGUUUCUAAAGUACACAGAUUAAUAAACCCACAUGAAGGAGUUUCACUGAUUCAUCUGAUGUCAUACCAGGUCCAGCUGUCUGUCUUUUUUCUUUUAUUUUAAUGUAUGUACAAUGCUGCAUUCCAGUUGUACUCAGAAGUCGGAAUUUCAGAGCUCCAAGUCGGAAAUUCAUCUGGAACGCCCCCCUGAAGUGGGAUUUCCUACUUGGAAAUUUGGGCGAUUCUCACCAACCCUGACUUGACGACAAUGUCAUAAUUCAAGAGGGCAGCGCAGUGCAUCAACAGUAAAGAGUAACAGUGAAAGCUCUUGCAAUGUAUUAUUUAUUAGCACUUCUGUUUUGUUUUGUUUUUUGUGAAAUUAAAUAAGUGGUAUAAGAUGAACUGCCCAACGUCUAACUGUGAACAUGGUGCUACGACAACCGCUAACAACGGCUAACGACAGCUGACAAUUGUAAACAACAGCUAACAACGGGUAACUGUAGGGGUCUAUCUUGGUUUUCCAACUUGUUAACUGGAAAGCUGUCAACUCGGGUGUAACGUCAUUCCUAGCUCUGACAUCCGACUUCAAAAGUAACUGGAACGCAGCACAAGUCAAUUCAUGUUUUUUUUGUUUUGUUUUUCUUUUAAUCAAGUACUGUCUUAUCAGCACCAGUGAGAAAACAGGGUAUGUGAAUUGUUGCAGUAAAGUGGUGCAUCAUCAAUAUCUGAAUGUUUACACUGGCCUGUCGACUAAAAACCACUCCAGUGGGUCAGCUGUCAUGAUGCUUUAGUGGGUUUUUGAUGCCUGAUAAGGAUGCGGUUCGUCAUCCUGUGAACCAUACUGUCUGUGUAUGUUUUUUUUUUUCUAAAGUUACAAAACUUUCCCCUUUAUAGUGUGUGUGUUUCUCACCUCCUUCAUGUUACAGUUGUCUGUGUUUACAACUCGUUGAAAUAAAAAAGCACUAUGCAGUAAGUUCUUUUUUCUGUUUGGCAGCCCACACUGUUGGUAAUGUAGCUUUAAAAAAAAAAAAAAAAACAACAAUAACAGAGUUUCUUCACCAUCUACUUCAAGAAUUAGACUGACAGCAAAACAAGUCCCUUCUGCUACCUCACUUUAGUAAGGAAAGUGACCCUUUUCUAUAUGUUUUGAACCAAAGAAGCCCAGAUUUGCAUUUUAUCAACUAAAGCCAUUAUUUUUACCAUUCUGUGCUUUGACCUUUUUUUAAUGCAAGAAAUAUUGAUUUGUAACACUUCUGUCAUUCUUCCCCAGGUGCCACAGUCUGCACCCUAACCGGGCCUGAUGAAAACAGGCCGUCACACAGAAGCGGUCAUCUGCCGAUGCCAAGGUGAAUGGCUCAGUGCCCACAUAGAUUAAACCAGUUCGCAAUUAGCCAAGGCCAGUCAGCCAGCAAGACACCAACAGGCAGGCAGCAGCUCAAACUAGCCAACCAGGCAGACACACACACACACACACACACACACACACACACACACACACACACACACACACACACACAAACUCAUGCCCAGCUGCAUUAUUUUUCUAUUAUUUCUUUCUGUCUUCUGUUGGGGCUGUUUAUCAUGACCUGAUUCUGCCUGAACAUGCGGUUUGCACCCUCUCUCUCUCUUCCUGCCCCCCCCCCCCCCCCAUCUCUCUUUCUCUCUCACACACAAACACUCAGCGUCAUGACUUGUACCUCUGCAUCAUGUUUCCCUCUCUUCCUGUUACUCUCUCUCCUUCAUUCUGGAUUCAAUCGGUUGAGCCAUCUUGGAUCAUAGCUGGAGUCAUGGGGCCCUUUAUUAUCAGUGCUGUGCUGAAAUGGUUUGGACUUCUUUCAGUAGAGGCAAAAAUGAUCCUCUACAGGUCCUUUCACACCGGAACUGUUUUAUUGUUCGAUUAUUACAGAUGUCCGAAUAUUUUUUCGGAACACGGCCAAUUUUUCUAAAGUUUUGCAUACUGUGUGUCCACUUCUGACCAAUCAGAUUGCGUGUUGUUGUGACAUCUGAUUCAUCAGUAUAUCCAACAUGGCCGACCGGCUGAUUGUUUACAUGUCGGAGAACAGAGUGGUUUUUGAUAAAAGACACAAAUAUUGCAAAGAUAACGACCUGAAGGACAACUUGUGGAGAGUCAUAGUGGCGGAUCUCUUAUAUGACGAUAUUUGUGUGCUUUAACAGUUUGCUAAACGUUUUUGUUUUAACUUUCAUCUGUGCUAAGUAACUUUAGCUCGUAAGCUAACCUGUUCAGAUACAACAUACCAUAUGUAUUUUCACUGUCUCAAACUCAAUCACGUUGCUGUCACAGCACCAUUAGGUCUCGGUUGUUACCUUACGUUUAUGGAUUAUAGUUUAAUGCGCUUAUCUGGAACUGGCCCCGACUCAGUACAUGCUAUCAUGACAGACAGCCAUCUCAACACUAGUGUCUAAUCAGAACUGAAUCCGGGACACGUCUUUUUCCCCCUGGAAAGUCUCAAAAUCGCAUCAGGCUUGAUGUGUAUAGUCAGGCGUGCCAAAAUUCGCCUCCGAAUAUUUCGUAAUUUCGUGUUCUUUAUUUGCGUCGGUCCUGGUGUGUAAGGACCUUACCAGUUAGAAACAUCAGUGGUUAUUAAGAUGAGUUAUUGAGCUUGAAACACUGGAUCUGUUACCAACAUCAAAAACCUUUGGUUGUUGCGCGGUUGGUAAUUCAACCACAAACUGAUGGUCCACAAAAUUUUAACAGAUCCCGUAUUUUUUGACUUCUUACAGCCAGUUCAAAGAGUGUUUCUGAAACAGGUGAAUAGAGAGUGAUAAUAAUCUGAUCCAGAUUUAACAAAAGCAUGAUCAGCUUGGACACAACGGGUGUAAGUUUUGUACUGUUUCUUAAAUACUCAGAGCCUGGCCCAGUUGGAUACAGACACAGGGCAUGCUUUAGAGGAGGAAGUGUGUGUGUGUGUGUGUGUGUGUGUGUGUGUGUGUGUGUGUGUGUGUGUGUGUGUGUGUGUGUGUGUGUAGGUGGACAGGCCCAGCUGCCUGUGUUAGCCCUCUACAGAGCACUGACCUGAGUGUCAUGGAGCACCAGUAUGAGGCAUAUUAUCCACCUCAUCAAACAGACCCCCUGAAUCACUCUUGACUCUCUCAAUACUCUUUUUAUCUAAUGUACUGUGCGCAUUUCAAAAGGGGGUUAGCUGGAUGGGUGGGUGGGUGUAGGGGGUUAGAGUAACAGGAGAGAGAGAGAGAGAGAGGGGUAAAAGAGAAGGAGAGAAACAGCUUUUUAUGAGAGACUGGAUGGAGAACAGGGCAGAAAGUCUCUCGCUUUGUCCGAGAAUGGAAAUCAUAUUUGGUGGGGGGCCAUCGCUUUUGUUGUGUAUUAAAAGAGUAGUUGAAAAGACAGAGCAUUUCUUUGUGUGUGUAUGAAGUGUGUCAGCAUGUCCCUCACAGUUUCAGUCUUCAGAAUAUGUUAACAUGUGUCUAAGUCUAGAUUUAGAAAUUUGUUUGAAUGCCACAAGCUGCAAGCAGUUUUUUACCACUGGAUCACAAAAAUAUAAGUACUUUGCAGCUGUAUUAAUUAUAGGAAAAGAGGUGGUAGCUGCAUUGAAAGGACUGCUUUCUGAACACUGUGACACAUAAUUGGAUUUUAAUGUGUUUCUAAAUUUCUUGGACAACUUCCUCUCACUCCAGCGCUGGAAUUAGUCUGUUCGGUGUCAGUCUGAAAUUUCAAAGCCACGAUACAACGGCCGAGAAGCCUUUACAUAUCUUAUACUUGGAAUAAGAUCAUAAAGAAAUAUUUGUAAGAGAUGGUGCAGAGAGAGAAAGGUGAACUGAGAUGAGAUAUGAAGAUAAAGUGAAGUGGCCUUACCCUGUCAACCAACAACUAGAGAUACAAACAGAUUGUCUGAAGAUGAUUUUGUAGAUUCAAAAAUGGUCUACUUAUGCAGUUGAAAAAAGAAAUGGCAAGUUAUUCGUGACACAGUCAAGAUAAAUAGCACUUAUAUGAGGGAUAACACCGACACAAAGCCACCGACCGCUCGUCUGAUCGUACACGCGUUAUCAAGCAGACCGCAAACAACCUGCAGUGUUUGACGACACUUGUAUUUGACCAAUCUCUGACAAGGUGUGGGAGCUCUGUGAGAGAAGACAAACAGCAUCCAGCUGGGUUCACAGCUUUCAAGGGCUCCUUUAUCAAGCUCAAAUGUUUGACUGCCACUGAUGAUGCUUAUGUAACUUGGCCGGCUACUGCAAGGGCUCCAGCAGAAAUGCUAACAAGGAUAUUAUCCACCAUCCCUGCCACUGAUCGAUGACCUUUUCACACAAGCACACUAAUUACCCUAAUUUAAUCUUUCCUCUACAGUCUGUCAGUGUACAGGUGUCCAUCCAUUUCAAAUCUACUCAUAAAGGAUUUCUUUUUUUCUGUUUUUGAGGUAGGUCUUGGUCUUUUGCCACAUAAGUAGGUAAUCAACAUAAAACAAGGACAAGUUUUUCUUCCAAGUGCAUCAGAAAAUAUUGUCUCUCAAAAUCUGAGAACAUCAUGAAAAACUUUUUUUAAAUUUCUUUUUUAAAUAGUUUGAUUCAAAACUGUUAGCUUCAGUCCGUUCAAAAUUCAUCACAUAUAAGAUGAAACAUGCUUAAGUUUUGUUGGUUAGUUUGAUGAUUACAGCUAAUAGCUCAUGUCAUCAGAAAUCCAGUAUCUUAAACUAUUACAAUCUUAACAGCCAAUCUAAACUAACACAUCAAUAAAUAUUUGAACAAAUGAAUGAAAAUAGAAUUGUACAAACAGAUAUGCCUGACUUCCAAAAACUAUGUUCAAACUUCAUGCUGGAGUUCAAACACCUUGGAUUUUGAGCCUCUCUGAUCCUCCUCCAGACUUUGGGACCUUUAUUUUCAACUGAGGCUAUGUUCCCACUGCAGGUCAAUUCAGAUUUUUUCAUGUGUGUGAACAGUGCAAUUCAGCUUUUUUCAAAUGUGACCCAGGCCUUUUCUGUACGUCGAUAUAAAUCAGAUAUGUAUCCGAUGUGACUGCAGUGUGGACGCUCAGGUCGCGUUCAUCCGACCUAUACGUCAUGAAUAUGUGACAAACAUCACCAUUGUUCGACAACACAAACAGGCACGGAAAGCAAUUUGUGCUUUGUGCAAAUGCGAGUCACUUCACGGACUCAUUCCGUUCACAUUAGAUGUCGCAUUUGUUGUUGUAAUGUAACAAUCGCACAAAAAGAUCGGAUUUAACAAAAAAACUGAAUUGUGCAUCAUAACCUGCAGUGUGAACGUAGCCUGAGAUACUGAUUUGACUUUCAACUUAAAACGGGACUUAGGACCUCUGAGCAGUUGUCCAGAUCUUGUUAUUCUUAGCCCAGGUGACACUCUCUGACAUUAUCUCUGGUUCAGUAAGGUCUUGAAAGUAGGACUACUACACUUGUAGUCCAGUUUCUUGGCUCAUCUGUGCGUAGAGGAUGCACAGUAGAUGCUCUGACUCCAGCCUCAAUCUAGUCUUUGUGAAGCACCCCUAAGUUCUUGAAUCUGGGUUGUCUGAGUCCUCUUGAGGCUGCACUCAUCCCUAUUGCUUGGUCUUCUUUUCCUCCCUCACCGUUCCCUUCAGUCAUCUUUCAUGAAUCUGCAUCUAUACAGACUCUGUGAACAGCCAGACUUUUCAGUAGUGACCCACUGUGGCUGAUCCUUCUUACAGAAGGGGGUCACUGAUGGUCCUAAUAAACAUCUAGUCAGCAGUGUGAACCAUGACUGUGGUUGACUGUACCUUUAAGGUAGACAGAUCCAUGGUUGGUUCUACUUUAACAGUUAUUUACUCAAACUUGACAUAAAAACUAUUCCAAUAUUUAGGAGAUUAUUUCUUUUAACCCUUGAGUUGUAGACCGUAAUAAUCCAAACCAAAACAGAGGAACUUUUGAAAUAUUUUAGUCCAUAUAUGUGUAGUAAAUUUGGAAUAUUUGACAUUUUCUGUUCCUGAAAUAAAAUAACCCAUGAAAACACUAAACUUGUUCCAUGAUAUUCAGAUUUUUUGAGCUGCAGCUACUUGUUGAUCUGACUGAACCGACUGUCAUCGAUGAUAAUGGUGGACUAAAUUCUUCCUCCAGUUUCAUUCCUUCUGUGGAGUUAACAUGUAUAUCGGUAGUUUUAACUUGGCGUCAGUAGAUAUCAGUUCAGUUAAGCUGAAUGGUUGUAGCAACACUGACUGAAGCUCCCAUGUUGGGAAACAGAUGUGCUGUCUGAGGCUAACAUCUGUGAAGGGUUAGUUUUCCCUCCGCUGGAGGUGGAUCACUGAUGGGCCUGACGAGCAUUAACUUCUCAUUACCAGCUCCGUCUCUUUUGUUGUAUCUCAAUAAAAGAAAAAAGCAAAGCAAAGAACCAACCAGCCUUUAUUUUAUAUAAGUGUGACCAGCUCAGAGAGCCCAGUGCAAACACACAGCAGAACUUUGAACUCCGUGGUUUGGAGGUCAGAACCUGGUCAGACAUUGGGGGGAGGAAAAGAGGCCCUCUGGGUUCAAGUGGAUCCUCUAAAAGUGACCGAGGAGAAUGGGCCUCAGAAACACACACUCACACUUAGACACAUACUUAAACUCCUUUAAGCCACAGACAGAGGUGAAGUGUCAGUGCAGAUGUUUUGUGUUGUGUCCAGCCACCCAUGUGGAGGGCAGGGGGAGCUGGUGACUGGAUGGUCAGCCACUUUUGAAGUGAUUAACAGGCGGACUUUUAUCAGCCCAUUUUGACUCCCAUCUUUACAAAUACAGCUGUUUAGUCACGGUGGCCAAUCACACAUCGAUUCUACCAUGAACAUGUUAACACUGUGAAUUGAAACGUGUCGUACGUGAACUUUCACUGAGGAGACUGAUUAGAACUUUUUGCAGUGGAGGUGUUACUGCUGAAUACAUGUCGUACCCUGCAAAUGUGGACGGACACGUAAAACUCAAGCUGAGUGUACGGUGCAUUUACACAGCUAUCGGCUCAAGGUCCUUUCACCCGGGGACCAUUUUUGUUGUGCGAUUAUUUCGGACGUCGAUAUAUUUUUUUAACUCGUAUCCUGUCAAUUUUUCUAAAGUUAAGCAUACUGUGUGUCCACUUCUGACCAAUCAGAUUGCAUGUUGUUGCAAUGUCAGAUUCACCGGUAUAUCCAACAUGGCUGACCAGCUGAUUGUUUACGUGUCAGAGAACAGAGUGCUUUUUGAUAAAAGACACAAACAUUGCAAAGAUAACAACCUGAAAGACAACUUGUGAAGAGUCAUAGUAUCAGAUUUCUCAUAUAACGAUGGUUUGUUUACUUUAACAGUUUGCUAAACGUCUUUGUUUUAACUUUCAUCUGUGCUAAGUAACUUUAGCUCGUAAGCUAACCUGUUCAGAUACAACAUACCAUAUGUAUUUUCACUGUCUCAAACUCAAUCGUGUUGCUGUCACAGCACCAUUAGGUCUCAGUUGUUACCUUACGUUUAUGGAUUAUAGUUUAAUGUGCUUAUCUGGUACUGGCCCCGACUUAGUACAUGCUAUCAUGACAGACAGCCAUCUCAACACUAGUGUCUAAUCAGAACUGAAAAACAGUCAGUCUGCUGUUGUGUCAGUCUUCUCGCUUUCACCCAGGACGCACCUUUUUCCUCCCGGAAAGUCGCAAAAUCGCAUCGGGCUUGAUGUGUAUAGUCAGGCGCGUCAAAAUUCGCUUCCGAAUAUUUCGUAAUUUCGUGUGCUAUAUUCGUCUCAGCCCCAGUGUGUAAGGACCUUUACUCACUUGAUUUUUUGAUGCAAGGUUAGAACUAAAAAAAACAAACUUUUAAUCACAGCAGCUGUGGUCAGGAUGCAGCUGAAGAGGGUUUGCAGCAGUGUUACAGAUUUAUACACCAUAUUCAUGCUCUUCAAAGUUUCCCAGUAAUAAGAGGGAUCUUUGUCAAUCUAAACAGUCAGUAGCUUUCAAUAUCAAUGUUCUCAAACUCCCCUGCACCAAUCACCCACCUACCCCCCAUCCUGCCCCCUAUAUUUGUACAGCAGGUGAUUAAUGGAUGCCAUUAGAUUGGAGUCUAUUUGAAACUGUAAAGCAGCAGACCAGUGAUGGAGAUGUGCCAAAUGGCUUUAUUGGGUGUUAUCAUCCCAUUUCAGGGCCCCACAAAGUUGGUUAAUGAUUGACGUGCCUGUACCUGUGGAUGGCUGAAACACAUGGUGGACGGGUGAAGUGGAGAUGGAGCUUUGAACAUUUAUGGUAGUUUCCUGGCAAGCAAAAGCAAAUACUCUGACAUUCUGGAUGAUAUGAUUUUUUUAUUUUUUUGCUGUUUAUGCAGAUAAACUGACAAAAAAAGAUUUUAAAAUGUAAUGAAAUUUUGUGAUGUACUGUGAAACUGUUGUGACUAUUAUUCAAAGAAAGUUGGAGUCAGGCUGUUUUCAAAAGCGAGCCAAAAUGAUUAAGAAAAACUAAAAUAAUAAUAAUAAUAAUAAAAAAAAAAAAGCCUUGAUACCUCUGUACAGCAGGUGACAUGACACUUUUUUUUCCCAUCUUCAGCUGUGAAGGCAGUUUCACUGAGAACGAGUUUUGAUCAGUCAGCCAUACAUGAGGAGGUUGUGCACCUUUAUAGCCUGGACUGAGUGUUCGGCUCACAUACAUACCAGAGCAAAGCGAUUUGCUCAAAUGAAUAAUCGGUUGUGCAUAAAGACUAAGGGCCUGAUCUACUAAGAUCCCAAAUACUGAGCGCUAAAUUGCAUGUGCAAACUAAAAAAUUGCAUGUGUUGCGGGUGGUCUACUAUCAUUGCGUGCGCAAUUAACGGGUGCAACAGUGGUGUGGACCGUCCUCUUAUAAGGAGGAUAUUGCGUGCUCUAUCGUACGUCACCAUGGAGAGUUUAUGAGAGCAGAGUGUUUGAAGCCAUAGAGUAGCACAUAUCGUUUUGGGGAACUGCAUAAAAGGCAAGGCAAGUUUAUUUGUAUAGCACCAUUCAUACACAAGACAAUUCAAAGUGCUUUACAGAUACAAGGCUAUAUACUAGAAAACAAAAAAGGGAUUAAAUCGAUUUAAAAUUAAUAAGACAAACAGAUACAUUUUUUUUGUCUGUUCCAUGUUUGACAUUAUUUAUGAAAAUCAUCAUUUACCAGAAAAAUUAAAUAAAUCACAAGCUUUUGGACAAGGACCUUGGCGUGUAUCAUGGCUCUUCUGCAUCCUUCUCCCCACAAUGACUGUGCGUAAUGCUGUGUCAGUUUGCACGUGCUAAACGUGCUAAAUAGAGACACAAAACAGCGACAGCAAUCGGUUUCCGAGUUUGAUAGAUCACACUGCGGGUGCUAAAUGAUUUCAUUUGCACCUGCUCCUCACAGAAUUUUGUGCGUUCUGAUGAUCUACAUACAUUCUGCAUAUUCAUGAAGGCAAAUACACUAAAUCGAUUGCGCGCAGUGUUUUGCUCAUUUGACAGACGCAAUCCUCAGUGCACCUGGUUAGUAGAUCAGGUGUACGUGUGCUAUCAAGUUUGCACGUGUUUUUGCACAUGCAAAACUUUAGGAGAUCAGGCCCUAAAUAUCUCAGAUAUUCAAGCCCCAUUUUUUUUUAAGCCUGGUAGAAUGUUUUUAUUGUUUUGUGUCCUCUAUAUUGUCUGUUGUGUUGUGUAAGACACAAUACUUAAGCAUCUCUCGCUCAUCACUGCAUUCUCUAUGAUCUGGCUGGUUGGACAUCACUAAGCAUUCGCAGACAACAACACACUGGUAUUUAUUCAUCUAUAAAGCUCUGCAGGGUAAACUCCCAGAAUACCUCAGGAGCCUCCUCUCUAUCAACUCUGUGAACCCCAGAGUAGUUGCUUUUGGUCUUAAGAUCCUUUCACACCAGGACAAUUUUUUAUGUGCGAUUAUUUCGGACGUGAAUAUUUUUUUAGCUCAUAAUAUUAUAUUUUGUAAUUUUGCAUGCUAUAUUAGCGUUGGCCCGGUGUGUAAGGACCUUUAGACAGGGCUGGGCAAAACAUUAUUCUCCCAUCAUGCACCAUGGUUAUGGAACACCCUUCAAGAAAUUCUCAGAUUAAACACUCGUGUCAUUAAAUAAUUUUAGGAGUAUCAAUAAAGAAUACAGUAGAGGAGGAAGGUCACUGUUUUUUCAUGAGAGGCCACCUCUUUGAACAGCUGUUACUCUGCUGUUUUAUUGUACAUGCACCUUUAUCUGUUUUAUCUCUUCAUUGACUUUGAGUACUACAUUGGCCAGGCCUCUCUAAUGAAAGAGAUUUUUAAUCUCAAUUGGACUGCUGGCCAGGUUAUACCACUUUAAGGUGUCACCACUAUGUCAGUGUAAAUGCAGAGAGAAAAAAGUGCCCAUGGUGUAGAGCUCAGCGGACUCCUCAUGUGGAGAGUUCCCCUUCAAAAAGUCCACAUAAAUGUCUGUUCUGAAAAAAGAAAUAUUUACUGAAAGCAGAAUCACAACUUGUGCAUUCACAAAACUCCCACACACCUAAAGCAUGAUCAGAUACGGUUAAGGACACUGGGAUCUAUGUAAAAAGCCCUUUGGGGACUAAUAAUGGUUUUACUAACAGAAAGCUAGGAGUCCAGUUAGAGUACUUUACUAAGAUGCAAUUGAGGAUUAAGAAUCCAGUAGCAAUCAUCCCAACAUGAGGUGGGGUUGAAGUAGAUGAGUGCUGAACUUAAAUGUACCACAAAGUUUGGAUGAAUGGACAACCAUAUCAUAAAGAAGGGAUACAUGCCACAGAGGCAGAUGCAGCCUGCAGCCUCUGUGGGUGGAGACUCUCUUGAAGUUGAUGUCAUGUUAAUGAAGACCUACGCCUUUAGGUCACCCAGUCGCCUGCCAUGUUUUGUCUCAGAGCCCAUCCCCCACUCACACAGCAUUUCAGUGAUAGGGCUUUUGUGUGUCUGUGAGAAAGUGUGUGUGUAUAUGUUUUUGGUCCAAGGCAAGAGAAGUGUCUUUUUGUCUUCAUUAUAGUCACUCUGAUCAUUGGAAAUCUAUGAGUGGGGAAAACUGAGCGUAAAUAAUAAUAAUAAUAAUAAUAAUAAUAAGAAGAAGAAGAUCUAUGAUAAACAAAACGCAGUACUGAUGUGGAAAGAGCUGCAAACUGAAAACAGUACAUAAGUAGAAUGUAAGAAGCUGAUAACAGUGAAUCAAAGUUGGCGAGACUGAACUUCAGAUGUCCUUAUAAAGAUCCUUUUAACAGGAAAUGAGUCCAUCAACAGUGCUUACACACACAGUCAUUUAGGCUCAGCACACAUCAGACCUCUUUGAAAGGCCCAUAAUCAGCUGCCCGCUCCUGCUGUCGGCGGUGAAACAUAGAGCUACAGCUGUCGUCUGUGUGUGCUAGCAAACCUCUGGAACUAAUACUAAUACUACAGUGCAUUUUCAAAACACAUGGUCAACAUUUACAAAUCAACAAUUAGUCUGUCGUCUGCCAGCAUGAGAUGCUCGUUGAGCUAACUGCUCCGAUAUUGAUGGUUCACAAACACGCCACACAAAAGUCGUCUGUAGGCUACAUGGUCUUUCUUUUUGCCUUUGUUAUACACCAAUCUUAGGUCGUGUUCACACCUAAAGGUCCGUUUCCUGAUUUGAAUCCAAGGCAAGACGAUACAUUUGUUUUGAUUGUUUCCAGAAAACUGAAUCGGAAGUCACAUGACCGCGAAUAUCGUUCCGUUAUUGGUCAUUAGUUUAUGCGGGAAUACAAUCCCUGCUCUGCUGUCUUCGCCUGUCAUGAGAGUUUGAGGUCAGUGUUCACACUGACCCAAAUGAACAGCACCAAGGGGGUAAACGCUCCAGGGUUCGGUUCAACCAGACCCAACAAGGGUGGUGUGAAUGCACCCUAAAACCCUUUCUUCAUUUACUAACAGCACCUGCAUGCUGUAAGUCCCUGAAUCAGCACAGGGAUUCAGCACCUGGAUGUGGUCUGUGAUCAUUUUCACUUCACUGUGUCUGACGGUCGUAUAAGCGACAGAGCUUAUAAUAGGAGACCAACAUGUCCUUUGAUCAACUCUCUUUCUCAACAGUUUUUCUUUUACCUUUUUUCCCCAAAUUGUUUUCUCCAACUUUUGACUUUCUUACCAUAAUGUUGAACUUACUCUUUCAAUGCAACAUGCAAAAAGGGUAACGAAUCAAAUAACGGUUUGUGUGUGGCGCCAUCUUGCGUAGCUGCCAUAACUGUGGCGGUAACUCAGCGUCUCCUGCUGUAAACAGACCCUGACAGCGGUGUGGACAAUGGGAUUAUAAAAGGUUACCAUACCAGCCACCCAUUUGUGAUUCAGAGCUUUGUGUGAUUCAGAGCAUUAUUCUACCAUGCUCAGGUCAUAGUCAGUCAACAACUGCAUUUUAUCAUCUCAGACUAAUUACAUCAGCUAUUAGACUUUCAAACUGAAUAUAAAGCUCAAAUUGUCUUAUAACACUUAUAACUAAAGAUUGUAAUCAAGAUGUCACUCAGUAACGGGCAAAAUAUACUUGAUCUGAUGAAAAUGUCUCUCCUCUAAGUAGCUGCUCAGUCUCUGUGAGAUGUUUAUUCUUACACAGACUUACUCUUCAUGUAGUUAAGGUCUUUACACACCGGGGCCGGCGCAAAUAUAUAACGCGAAAUUACGAAAAUUUCUAUAUAUAUUUCUAUAUUUCUAUUAUACACAUCCUAAUGGUGCUGUGACAGCAACACGAUUGAGUUUGAGGCAGUGAAAAUACAUAUGGUAUGUUGUAUCUGAACAGGUUAGCUUACGAGCUAAAGUUACUUAGCACAGAUGAAAGUUAAAACAAAGACGUUUAGCAAACUGUUAAAGCACACAAACCAUCGUCAUAUGAGAAAUCUGAUGCUAUGACUCUCCACAAGUUGUCCUUCAGGUCAUUAUCCCUGUAAUAUUUGUGUCUUUUAUCAAAAAGCACUCUGUUCUCCGACACGUAAACAAUCACCCGGUCGGCCAUGUUGGAUAUACCGGUGAAUAAGACAUCACAACAACACGCAAUCUGAUUGGUCAGAAGUGGACACAUUGUAUGUGAAACUAUAAAAAAAUUGACCAUGAUCCGAAAAAAAUAAAUGCUGUGAUAUCGCAGGACGGGAAUAUGUCGCUGAUGUGAACGCUUGUAUUGACAGGAUAUGGGUUCGAAAAAAAAAAUAUUGACGUCCGAAAUAAUGGCACGAAAAAAAACGCUCCUGGUGUGACAGGACAUUUAAGGCAUAAGCGUCAGGCUCUCGAUAAAGUCGCUGAAACUCUACAGGUUAUAUCAGAUGCCACCUGCAUUGUUAUCAAAAGUGAAAUUGUGAAAAUAGCAAAUGUCAAAGAGAAAAUUGAUCACAGUUUGUCUUAAAACACACUGACAUUUUGAGCAGUCACCACCACAGUAAUGGCCAUUUGUAAUUGGUCUGUACUUCACCUACAUUAAAUUAAAAACAAACACAUUUAAGAAAUCGUUUAAGGCUUCACAACAUUUUUGUUCAAGAUCUAAUAAACAUUUUUAAUAACUUAUAUCAGUGUUCAUGAAAUGUUAUAAUGCAGUAAUAUGUUUAAUGAAAAACUGAUAACAACUCCUAAUGAAAUUUUGAGAACUCACUGAAUAUUAAAAUGUAGCACAUUAUUUUUAUGUGACUUCAUCAAGUGUAACUGAGAAUAUAGACCUCUGACAGCUUCACUUUCUUUCUAUCUAUCUAUCUAUCUAUCUAUCUAUCUAUCUAUCUAUCUAUCUAUCUAUCUAUCUAUCUAUCUAUCUAUCUAUCUAUUUAUUUAUGUAUUUGGUGGACAUUGUUUGAGAUUGCCAUAGCUAUACUUGAUGACAGCAAAUAAACAAAGUUAUGAGUAAAUAAGUCAUGUACUGUAACCAGUGUCCAUCUAAUCAUAUUAAAACUGUUGUGAUGAUUUCUUUGUUGUAUAUUCUAGUUCAUAUUUCAUUUUAUUUAAAGCACCCACACUCUUGCUAGGGCGUGUAAGUAAUAAUUACACCGUUUUCCAUCUGAGAAUCACAGAAAUGAUGACUUCUUGUGGUGCACUAAAUCAGUUCUGUGUGAUUUAUAAAUGUUUUGCAGUUAGGUAUGAUGUUUAAUAAAUCAUACCAUUAUGCUCAAGUUUGCCCUUGUUCAGAAUAAGCAGGCCUGGGGGAGGAACAUAAAAGCUCAUAUCUUAAAAUGAAAUUGAAUUAGGGUAGAAGAUCUGUGUGUAGGUGCAGACAGACAAGCAGGUGCAGUCUGUUUAGCUCUGGUCCAUCUCUGGUCUAUGUUUCCUCACAGUAUUGUGUUGGACCUUUGUCUUCAGUCUCAAUGAUGGGCCUCUCAGCUCUUAAACACAAACAGAUAGAAAAGUCUUCAAGCUAGCCACCAUAUUACUGUUACUACAAUGGCACUAAAAGACCAGUUCAAUAAUAACUGCCUUCCCUUUCUUGAGUUUCAAAAACUGCUUUCUCAGGAGCCUCAAGUGGCUCCUUCUUGAGUGGUAAGAGUAAACAUGAACAUCCCUUAAGAUCUCUGAAAUCACUCACCGUCCGCUGGGGACAAUAUAGGCAUUAGUAAUCAAGAGUAUAUUCAUAGAAGUGGUCAGUCUCUGCAGGGCCUCAGCAUGGAGCUGUGAGGAAACCAAAGACUGGAGCUGGAAGUGAAUACUGCUUUUAACCCUGACACCAUUGUGCUGGCUGGAGCUAAAACAGGCAACCACACAUAAUGAUUCCCUUUAGGUUUGAAGGGCUGACCUCACAGCGAUAAAGGCGGAGAAGCAGGUGAGUGACGGGGUAAUGUGACAAACAGCUGACUGACCUUAUCUGACAUGAAUUAUGCUUAUUUAUAUGUAUUAUAAAUUUAAGAUUCAGUAUCAAAGGAAACAAGAUUUCUCAGAAGUGAAAGUGAACAUCUGGCCUAUUAGUUUUGUAUAUAACCCUUAUUUCAGCCCAUUGAGAUUAAAAAUCUCUAUUUCGCUGGACACCUGGCCAAGGCAGCAGCAAAACCACACAGCUGCAGACACAGACACACAGGGAACCACAAUACAGUUCAAAAAAAUGGACAAUAAUAGAUCAACAAGAGCAACCAGGUCAUCAAACAACAAAGAUACUCAAAAGACUCUUCUUCAAAUUCUUUCAUUUCAGGUUUAAAAACAUUCAAUGACUCUUGGAGUUUCAAGUCAUUCUGUAGAAAAUUCCAGGAGGAGGGUGAAAAAUACCAAAAAGGCCUUUGACCAACUUCAGUGAGAGCUUUGUGACAGAAGCAUAAAGAAGUCCUGAGGGUUGAGAAAAUUGUCCAGCACAAUGUAACAAAAACACAAAAAACUGUGGUAGCACUGCGCCAGAGACGGCCAACCAACCCUACAAAGAGACAGCCAGUCCAGGUUUAAACAGUCAGUCCAGGUUCAAAGAGUCAGAGUGGAAACUUUGCACCGUUCAUCACCAUUCCAGUACCAUCCCUACAGUAAAGCAUGAUGGUGGCAGCAACAUGCUGUGGGGAUGUUUUUCAGCAUCAGGAACAAGAUUCAUCUUUGAACAGGACAAUGACCCUGAGCAAACAGCUGAGAUAACACAGCAGCCCAGACUUGAACCCAACUGAACAUCUCUGGAGAGAUCUGAAGAUGGUUGUGCGCCAAUGCUCUCCAUCCAACUUAUUGGAGCUUGAGAGGUUCUGCAAAGAAGGAUGGGAGAACCUGUCCAAAAAUAGAUGUACCAAGCUUUUAGCAUCGUACUCAAAAAGACUUGAGGCUGUAACUGCUGCCAAAGGUGCAGCUACAAAGUACUGAGCAAACAUUGUGAAUACUUAUGUACAUGAUUUAUUUCUGGUUUUUUUUUUUUUGGUUAAUAAAUUUGCAAAAUAGUGGUGUAGUGCCUACAAUAUACACCUUCAAUAUACACAUUGGUGUACCAAAGACAAACAAUAUUCUAAGUGACGAAAAGUACCAUAAUGAAUAAAAUAUGACAUAAAGUACAUACAGGUCAAGAUAAUAUCAAUAUAAAAACGACAACCAGAAAAAAAAAUGAAUUUAAGUAAAGAAGAUAAAUGAACCAGUCAUGACAUUAGGUAUAAUCAAGAAUAAUCUCUUUCUACAAGCUAGUCUUUCACCAACUUUCAUCCAUGACAAUUCAUUAUGCAUUAUCUCAAUGCCGGUCCUAAUUGACCAACGGAUAGCUAGUCUCCCAGCUCUGUGAUUUUGAAUUGUGCCAAUCACCUGAUAAGUUUUAAACCUGUAUUUUGGAGAGGAAAGCAUUUUUGAAGUUUGUAUGAUGGUGCUAUCUGACAGUUAGUCUGAGACUGCAGUUUGGGACAAGACCACGUGUUGACAUGUGACCGCAGUGACCAUGUUAAAGAUUAUCUGUUUCUUGGAUGCUUAAUGAAAAACACCUCCCAGCCGGUGAUCACAGCACUGGAGCUAUCAGACGAAGACAAACAGGCACAGGUUGUACACACAGUCAGCUCACCACUAUUGAUCUUUGGUUAAUGUGUGACUGCUGGUUCAGCUCUGGAUCAACACUGAAGUGCAUUUAUCAGUGUCAAAUCCAACGCCAUCAAGACUGUGGCGGUACGCCGGAAGACUUCAGCCUUCCCUCACUGCAAUACUUACAUGUAGACAGUUACGUGACAUCUUCCACAUAAAUGAGGUCAUUUUAUCUUAAAUAGGCUUUCUAGCACAUCCUUUUGGGUUAGCUCUACACUUUAGUCGUAUUGACCUCAGGGUGACCAAUGUGCAGGAUGAUCAGAACAAUUAAGAAAGAAGGAAUUAUUUUAGUUUAUAAUACUUUACUCAGUAGCAGCAACUACUCAUAAGUACCCAUCCGCUGUUUGUCUGGGGUACAGGGACAUUUCUCAGUGGUCUGCUGUGAGCAGUCAGUGUGAACAGACCUCUCUGAAAGCACCAUCAUUUGUGGGACUCAGGGGUUUGGUUUAUUGUGCUGUAAGUUUAAGUGCUACAAGGUCCUGACCACUUACAACAAAAUAUGAUGUUGUGGACAACUUUAGUUCCAGCUAAACUAGUCAAGCAAGCUGGUGAUAAUUAAUCUACAGCUAGUACAAAAUAACAAUGGCAACAUUGAGGCAUGGCAUUAGCCAUGACAUACACUGAUCCAACAGUACUCUCGUAUUGUGCAGAUGAAAUUAUAUUCCCUCUAUGACAGUGGUUCUCAACCGCGGGGGCGUGGACUCACUGGCUAUUAGUACAAAGGAGAUGUAGCAGAGUCCUAAUCGGUUGGACUGUAGACCAAUUUGAGAACCCCUGGUGUAGAGGAAAGGUGGAGCAGAGAUGGAGAGUAAGAAAGAGGCUGACCCCUUAGAUGCCAUCCUGAGUGUAUUAUACUUGAUUUAUUUACAUGUUGUUCAAAACAUUUUUGCAUAGGAAAUUGGACUUCUAAAAUACACAUUAGCACAUCAGUUCAACUGGAAUCACACCGAAACAAACUUCUAGUCAGACUAAGGGUGUUUUUACACCUAGAAGUCCGGAUCAAGGUUCGAACCAAGGUCCGUGUUUUUGUUACAUUGUAUACAUUUGGUUCGGUCUGUUAAGGUUUCACACUGUCAUUAUUGCAAACGGACUAACAGACUUUACAUGACGUACCUAUGGGAUAUUGUCAUCAACUACAUGCUUUGCAUGUCUCUGUAGUUUACAUUGAUUGGUCAUUUGGCCGGCGGGCAUCUGACGUCAACACGUUAAAUAACAAGGGUCUUGAAUAUUGUAAACAUGAAUAAAAUCAUCAUUCCCCCCAUCAUAUUACUGUUGAUUUUUAGCUACCAACAGCAAUAACUUUAAGAGCUGUACAUGAGGCUGGUCCAAGUUCAUCUUAUGAAUUUUAUCAUUAGACGACAACUUUAUCAACAUCGACAGGAAAGGAAAAGAAAGUAAACAAUCCUCAGAGCCACUGCAACAACAACUCUGGAGAGAAAGUCUUUGUUGUAAAAUUUUGAAAAGCUAAGCUGUCAAUGCUGAAGUAUCUACAAUAUUGUAAAAUUUUCAGUUCGUGGACAAUCUCCAUUACGCAUAAUAACAAACGCUUUCACUCUGAGCAUGAACUAGACCGCGGUUCAGUUUGGUCCGGACCGAGACCACCUCUUUUGGUCGGACCAAGGUUCGGCUGUUUGGUCCGGACCAAGGUCCUGGGGAGGUUUCACACCUAUCAUUUUAAUUGAGACUAAACAGAAAAGUCAGACAAUCCAGACCAAACGAUGUAGGCGUGAAAGCCCCCUUACGUACCUGGAUAAUGGGAAAGGAUUUUAUCUUCUGUGUCAACACUUAGACUGAAACUGGCCUCAGCUUUCUACAGAGUUUAAAUGCUGAGCUUUGAUACAAAAGUUGAAUGGCAUAACCAUGUUACUAGCAAGCCAAACUUCAAACAAACCUCAGCAAAGGAAGUAGGGGAGAAAAAAAAUAGAUGAAGCUUUGGGAUUGUUUGUUGAAAAGGUUCUGAGCUAUAGAAAAGAGUGUUUUCACUAUGUAUAUCCCAUCGUACAUUGCUCUGAAACUGAAUGUCUGAAACUGAAACUGAGGUGUGAUCCUAAACUUGUGACCAAAUCAAGAAAGGAGGUACCCUUUUUUAGGGCACAAACUUCCAGAAGAUUAAGUAUUUUGGCUUCCUAAUCACUUUUUUAAUGUUGUAACAAGAAGUUAAACACGCUCAUGAAAUGCAGCCAACUUCAGUUUAAACCCAUGUGGGGCUCUUCCAUGCUCAGAGUCAGAGUCCAGUAUUUUGGAGGCCUAAAGAGUGAAGGAAAGCCUUGUUAUGCUGGCGGAUGAAAUAUGAAAAGUUGGAACUUGGUUGACUUUCAGGUAUUUUAUUUCAUUCUUUUACCAACCAGCUUUUCUGGACUAAACCUCAUACAACAGACCUGUUUAUGUUAACGACUCAUCAGAGAGGGAGACUGCAGACUUAACAACAAGCCCCAGGGUCAGACAGAUCAUGACUGGGGGCCACUUCUGUGCCAUCAUUGAGGGGCCACAGCCUCACGGCCUGGAAAGUCCUGAGCAUGAAUUAUUUGUAAGAUAUCAGACUAACACAAUUUGAUUUUUACUGUGCACAGACUGUGCCCUUUAACAAAGUUGUUUUCUUGUCUGAACUGAGGUUUAAGCAGGUAUAGAUAUGGAAAUGUGGCAGCUAGAUCUGCAACAAGGGAGGCCGAUGAUUCUGUUCACAGUCUAUUGUGAGCUACAAACACCUACACAUUUACUGUCUUGUCUCAGUGCACAAAGCACAUCAGGAACCAGGCAAGCAGGAGGCCUGUCUGUGUUUCUUCUUUUUCCACUUUGACUCUUUCUUCUCUGCCCCCUCAGACUGAGAGAGAGAGAGUGUGUUUUACUGUGACAGGCCAUCUCAUCCAGAGCUAAACACGCAGUGACAGAAAAACACCCACCAACACUCCCAACCAUGGCUAAUGUGACAGCCCAGGCUGCUAUUCAUCCACUCAAUUACACAUGGGUACGCGCGCGCACACACACACACACACACACACACACACACACACACACACAUAGCUAACACAAACAGAGUUCCCCUCACUCACUCACUCAGUCACAGUCACACCCCAGUGGCACACAGGGCCUUUCUAACACAUGCUUUCACUCCAGUUGAUAAUGUGACAAGUAGGUGAUGUGAGUCCCUCCCACAGCCCGGUCUUUUACUGACUUUGGUUCAUUGUUGUGGAUGUCUGAGAUGACAAUUCAGGUACAUUUACUGUUUGUAGCUUUUUAUAAAAAUACAAUGAAACAAAAAAAAAACAUUUUUUUCUCCUUUUUUUUAAUCUGAAGAACAAGAACUUUAACCCUCAACUGUUUUUGUAGUCCGAUCUUUCUGUUGCUUGGAUCGAGCAGUUUUGACCACAGUUGCUCUAAGUGACUCACUAAAUUCAUUCUCUGUACUAAGGAGGUGAAAGUAUGUAUUUUUGGAGCUGUCAUUAUUCAACUUAUUUUUGAUGGUCAUAAUUGAAAGGUCUGGUUCUUGUGAUGGGGAGCAGAAAGCUGGCUUUUGAACUGUGCACUCAGGCUGGUCACUCUUGUCUUUGGAGCAGAGGAUGCUAUGUGUCCAAGAUUUCUGGAAGAAUGCCUAGUUUUCUCUAACCAGGCCACAGCACAGUCUUCCACUGUGACUCAUAAACAUGCACAAGCCCAGUGAAGUAGAAACUGUUACUCAACCAUGUUGAUACAGUUUUCAUGGUAUGCAGUUUUAGCUCAUACAGUGAUUCCCAUUACAGAGUCAUGUCUGUUUAAAAUGCAUUGCCUUCCAGUGUUGGCUGAUGGCUUUGUCCUUUUUUCACAGAGAUCUUUCCAGAUACUCUGAAACACUUCAUAACUUUUUGUUCUGCAAAUGAUGAAAUCCUCCAAUUCUUAGUAAUUUGACUCUGAGGAACGUUAUUGUAAAUUUUGCUGAACUAUUUGCCCUCCUCUCUGGGUUUAAUUGAUUUUAAAACCAUUAAAUUAUGUGUUCAUUAACUUUUAAAGCAGUGCUUUCCACAGUUUCCAAUUGGACCAAACAGGAGAGACCACCAAAAAGUGGGGCUAGAACCCGAACACAGAGUUCACCUGUUGCUGAUGUGGACUUCUCCUGCAGGUUAUCAUCCCUUCAGAAGUUCAGAUACUCUGGACCUACAAUACUUUGCUGAUCAAUCAAUGUUUUCGAGUAAGAUGGCUCUCUAUAAGAUGACAACAGUUGUAGAUCUCACCUGCUACUCAACAUACUGUCUAUCUAUUACAGUUAGAAAUGCAGGGCAACAUAUGGAGGAGGCCUGAAUUUCAUACUCCAUCAUAAAAUAUAAUUUUUUAUGGAGCCUAUACCCCAAAUCUGACACAACACUCUCACUUCACAAGGUCUGAAGCUUCCUGCAUGUUUCCCUUUAUUUGUGGCAGUAUCUGUCCUCUGAGAAAGCUUAAGGGAAGGUGGAUUUCACGUGUUGCUAUGUGAUCUGGAUAAAUUGACCCUCAAUGACUUGACUUUUUCAGCCUACAAAACGGCAUGGCUGCUCCUGAAAGGCCUACAUCAUGUCUGUGUGACAGUGGGCUGGCUGCCAUGCCAGAUUGCUUCGGUCAUUCUGGUCAUUACAGCUCCAUCUAACUGACCGCAGUCAUAUUGAAGAAAAUUGAAUGUUCCGGGGUUGACCUCUGCUGGCCUGACCUUCACCUGCUCCUCUGACCACAAGCUUUAAAUCACCCUACCCCCCUCCAUUCACAAUGCUGGCCGAAGGUCCUGAAGAAAGGCCAGCACAUCCAUUCACAGAGCAGGACCAUGGGCCAUGAGAAAGGACAGCGCCUGCCAGGUCACUCUGGACUCUUUGUAGAGGCUGAAGCUAAUGGCACAGCGAGCACUAAAAACACAAACACUGCCAUUCACCAGAGUGGGCCAAAACAUACAAUGGAUUUAGAGGAACAACGCCUCCUCAAUCAGAAUAUAGACUAGUCAUGUUGUGACCCACGUCUUCACACAGUCACACGUGAUCUGUGGAUUUGAUGCCAAACUCUCAGGGUUUUUUGUUCACUGGUGCAUAACUGAUAACCCAGAGAAGAGGGUUGAUGACGUGAGCUUAGAGCUGAUUUGAUUACUCUUGUUGAGGCCAUGGUGAUGAUCACUUUUCACUCUAAUGGCAGAUUUCCAUGCAGGAAUAAUGUAAAAUCAUGACUUAACAGCAAAGCAUCUGAUAAAAACUAAACCAGGGAUGGGCAGAGAGAAACAACGACAAACAGCACGCAAAAUGGGAAAAUAUGGAUUCAACUUCUCUUUUGUGUCUAUUGUGAAAUGCUCUGACCACUCACCAAAUGUGAGUCAAAGGAUGAAAACAUUAUUGAGCAAGUUGUUCAACCAAAAAUAAUCGACAAUAAUCAUAAAUAUGAUAAUGUAAGACUGAGGAAAAUGAUGUCUAUCACUCUGAUGCAUGCUGGGUGACAGUGUUGAUGGUAGCUGUUUAAGACUGAAGGUCCUUACACACCGGGGCUGACGCGAAUAUAGAACGCGAAAAUACGAAAUAUUCGGAGGUGAAUUUUGACGCGCCUGACUAAACAUAUCAAGCCCGAUGCAAUUUUGCGACUUUCCGGGGGGAAAAAGACGCAUCCCGGGAAGGACUUUUGCUGGGGAAAGUCCCGCCUCCUUCGUCUCUGAUUGGCUAGAACAGCUGGAAACGUUAUCACACGCUCAAGCCAAACAGUCAGGACUUAUAGCCAAUCAGUGGCGAAGAAGGGCGGGACCUUCCCUUAACAAUCUACAGCGUCCCGGGUGGAAAUGAGAAGAUAAAAAUUGAGUCUACUUCAACUUCAAGUGAUGGUGAAUUGGUACUCCUUUUGCUUUCUCAAAAGAAAGAUAAACGUAGCACAUGGGUGCAUCAAAUAUUACAAAAAAGAAGAGAACUUACUGAGUUUCACUGCUCGGUUCAGGAGCUGUAAUUGUACCACGGUCGCCUCAGAACCUGUUUUUGGAUGUCCGUUAGACAACUUGAAGUUCUGCUGAAACAAUUAACUCCAAGUUUGAAGAGGCAGAGGACUAGACACUGGUGUUGAGAUGGCUUUCUGUCAUGAUAGCAGAGGUGGGAAUUGUGGAGUCAGCAAGUCAUCUCCAUGCCAUGUAUUUGUUCUGCUAUGUCACUGAACCAGCUGCUUUCAAUGAGCAGCCAGGAAGGUGAGCUCAUUAGUGAAGGCACCUGAUUCAGUAACUGAGCAGAACAAAUACAUGACAUGGAGAUAACUUGCUGACUCCACAAUUUCCACCUCUGCAUGAUAGCAUGUACUGAGUCAGGGCCAGUACCAGAUAAGCACAUGAAACUAUGGUAACAACCAUUAGCUCACGUUAGCACAGAUGAAAGUUAAAACAAAGACAUUUGCAAACUUUUAAAGCACACACCAUCGUCAUAUCAGAAAUCCGAAGCUAUGACUUUUCACAAGUUGUCCUUCAGGUCGUUAUUUUUGUAAUGUGUGUGUAAACAAUCAUAAACAAUAAGCUGGUCGGCCAUGUUUGAUAUAUCGGUGAAUCAGACGUCGCAACAACACGCAAUCUGAUUGGUCAGAAGUGGACACACAGUAUGCGAAACUUUAGAAAAAUCGACCGUGAUACGAAAAAAUAAAUGCCGCAAUAUCGCAGGACGGGAAUGAUGUGGACGUUUGUAUUGACAGGAAACGUGUUCGAAAAAAACACUGACGUCCGAAAUAAUCGCAUGAUAAAAACGGUCCCGGUGUGAAAGGACGUUUAAUCUGAGACUUGAGUCAUACAUGUGAAGAGUUCUUCGGAUUUGGAAAAAUGACAUGAUUGUCACAACUUCUCUGUCAAACUGUCUCUCUCUAAAAACAAACUCAAUGAGUUUAUCAAAAGCUGGUUAUUAAGUUCUACCAGGAGUUUGAAUCUGCAACAUCUCACUGUCAACACUUAAGCUUGUAUGAUAUCUUGAUUCUUUAUCUUUAUGGAGUAUUUUUUCAUGACUCCUCAGUGUAAUGCUAUACUGGGCAACCAUCUGCUCAUCUGCUAAGGGAGAGACACAUAAAUGCAUCAAAUUGAAAGCAUUCAUCAAAUGCUCUCAUAUUUUGGCUAAUGGUGAGCUGAACAUCUAAAUUAACAACUCAUGAACGUAAGAACAUGAAUGUCAAGAUCCUUUUUUCUUCUUCUUCUUCUUUGUUCGUUUAAAGAGAUGUGAAAACCAUCGCACAAAACCCUCCUCAUCCCCCUUGAUGAAGAUUCCCACUGUGUAUUUGAGUAUUAUAAAAACUGAGGUUAUAAUCUUAAACCAAAUACUGAGCAAACUAAUGAAAGUUAAAUGUAUGAUUUCAAGUUUUCAUUGCUGCUGAUUUCUCCCCAUAUUUUAUUGGUAGACAACACACAAAUAGGAAGCUCUGCUGACAGAGAGGGGCAGUUUAAAGGUGAUGAGCAUGAGCUAGUCCACCUGUCUGCUGAAGUACCAAAGAUCACAGACUCAAAGACAUCCAUCGCUUUCACACCAGCGCUAUUUGGUCCGCUUUAAACGGACGAGAGUCCAUUUCCUCAGAUAGUCCUCUUCGUUUGUGAAGGUGUGAAAGAUCAUCCAAACUCUGGUACGGACCAAACAAGCAAACUGUGGUCCACCUGAAAAUGUGGAUCUCGAUUUACUUGCAAGUAAACCCUGGUUUGGUUCGUAAUGAAGCUAUACGCAGUACAUACACAGUGCAUCUUGGGUAGAGGAAGCAUGGCGCGCACUCCAAACCAAAACAAACAUGGCGAGAGGACAGACGUGGACAGACAAAGGGGUUAAAGUUCUCCUUGAAAUAUGGUCAGAUGACAGCAUAAACCUACUUCUGACAUCCACUGACAUCCCCAGAACAGCCAACUUCACAUGAUGCUCCAUCUUUACUGCUGUUUUUUCUGGAGCAGGACAGAGGGAUUUUCCCUCCUACUUUGUUCAUUCGACGAGCGUCCCUUUAAGCAACGUGAUGCUGCUCGGAAAGUUUGUGCGCUUUAAAAAUCACAGUGUGAAAGCAGAACCGAAAGAAGUGAUAAAUGCAUCAAUGUUGCGACUUUCAGCUCAGAACCACUUGGUCAGGUGUGAAAGCAACCUUAGUCUGAAAGGCUCCACUUUUUCUCACACAUGCACGCACGCACACACAAACUAAAGGAGGAGGGGACUUAUUUUUGACUGAUUAAGUUGGAUUAUUGUAAGGUCAGAGUUUUCUAUUAUUAGGGGCAUGGCAGACCUAAAUGCACAGUCGGUAGCACUCUGUAGCUGUUUGCGAAGAGGGUGAGACCAUGUCUCUAUAUUAAACAGAAUGUGUUUCUAAUAUAAUGCCAAAUGGCUUUGCCAGAGUCAUUAUAUUCAUAGAAAAACAUUGAACCACAAACAUUAAAAUGACAUCAUCCCACUCUAGGAUAGGAAAAAUCUCCAAAUGAAAAUACUUCGUAAGAAGACUGAGAAAACUUCUAUUCGUAGCACAGGUGUUGCAGGUAUGCAACAAACGUAAAGGUCCUUACACUCCAGGAACGAUGCAAAUAUACAACAUGAAAUUACAAAAUAUUCAGAGGCAAAUUGUGACGCGCCUGACUACACACAUCAAGCGCAAUGCGAUUUUGUGACUUUACGGGAGAAAAAAGAUGCGUCCCGGGUGGAAGCGAGAAGACUGACUCAACAGCAGACUGACUGAAAACAUAUGAUUAACACAUGAUAAACACAUUCAGGCCUUUUGGGUCAUGAGUGCGCUGUCUGGAUAUUAACUUCCUUCAGGAGAAACAAGAAAAUCUUCAGAAAGACUGAAAAGGAUUGUAGCAGCAUGUGGGCCUGACUCUCUAAGACCAUACUCAGAGAAUAGGUGACCAAAGGCAGACAGACAGCAGAUUGAAAUGUCCUCACACCCUCCGAAGUUAUGUCAUGUUCUGCAUAGUGACACUCUGACAAGGAUCAGCUAACUUGGACCUGGACUGAAUUGAGUUCACAUUCAAUCAGUUAUUCAGUUUACAGUAAAAUAACCUUAUCUGCUCCACUGCUGUAGAUGGAAGCACUCCAUAAUGAGGCAUCAAUAUUCAUUCAUCUCUUUGAAGGGACUCUGUUUCUUCCACUUGUUUUUCACUGCAGGACAUUAUGAUACAAACAGAUCAAGGUUCAACAGGUGCAGGUCCCUUUAAGCCGUCCUCGUCCCAUCCAGCUUUUCACUCAGCCCAUGAAUAUUCAAACACUCACCCACACUUUAAUCUGUCUUCUCAGCCAUGGGAGAAGCAAAUGGAUGUAGUAUCACACACAGAUACAAACAAGAAGCUGUAAAGAGAGAGGCAAAGUAGAGAAAAAAACUAUGUGAGUACACUAUAGAGCAUCAAAAAGCAAGUAUACUCCAACUACAAAGUUAUCAGUACUUCUUUGAUGUCCAGCAUAAAUAUCAGCUGAUCUGGUGCUGAUGUUUCGAUAAAUCGGGGGCCUUACAGGGACACGUUUAAAUGUAAAUAGAAUAUUUGCAGAACUGUCCUCUUCACAGUCAACACAGGCUGUUACAUGCAGUUAAAGUGCUGAACAGGCAGCGUGUUCAUCAAAUGUCUGUGGCCAUCAUUAUAAGAUUUUGUGAGUUUAACACCUUAGAUCACUCAGUGAAUGAGAUGGUCUUAAAGGUAUGAGAUCAUAGAGGGAAUUUUCAUCUCAUCCUUGCCAACAUGCCAACCAAACAGCUUGUUUUUGAAAAUUAUGAUUAAUCUCAGAGUGAUGGUUAAUGCCUUGCUUGGAGAAUUAAUUGAAUGCUCUGAAAUAAAUGUUUUGAUCUUGACUUAUAAAUCUAUUGGUGAAAUAAAUGUGGUACAGAUAAAGGUCCUUUCAGACGUCAGUAUUUUUUCUUUAACCUAUAUCCUGUCAAUUCAAGUGUUCACAUCAGCAACAAUACUGCAUUUAUUUUUUCGGGUCAUGGUCGAUUUUUCUAAAAUUUCGCAUGCUACGUCCCCACCAGAUCUUGAAAAAAUAAUCCAUGCUUUCAUUUUCUCACUGGACUAUUGUAACUCUCUCCUCCCUGGUUUAAAAAAGAAAUUACUCUCCAGCCUCAGACUAACUCAGAAUGCAGCAGCUCGGCUUUUAACUGGUUUUAGUAGACGGCAUCACAUGACCCCAAUUUUAGCCUCCCUUCACUGGCUUCCUGUCAGUUUCAGAAUUGAUUUUAAUAUUUUAUUGAUUACUUUUAAAGCACUCAAAGGACUUGCUCCAAGUUUCAGAGCUUUAAUACCAUAUGAGCCAACUCGCAGCCUCAGACCCUUGCGGAAGGCCUCCUGGUCGUUCCAAAGUCGAGGCUCAAAUCUAAAGGUGAUAGAGCUUUCUCCAUCAGAGCUCCUCUACUUUGGAAUGACCUGCCAGAGGAGAUAAGGCGUGCAGAGACAGUCGCUUCUUUUAAGUCAAAUUUAAAAACUCACUUUUACAGACUUGCUUUUAUGUGAUGCCGUCUUUUAUUUUUUAUCUUUUUUCUUUUCUUUUACCUCUUUUAUCUUAUUUCGACCUACUGUCCUUUAGCCUUUGUUUUACUUAUACUCUUUUCUUAUUUCACCUUUUAGACCUUUUAUUGAUUUUAUUGUGUUUUCCUGCUCAUUUUUGUUAUUCCAUUUUAUCAUUAAUAUCAUUAUUAUUUUAUUAUGAUUUUGUUAUCAUUAUUAAUAUUGCCUUUUUAAAUUUACUAUCCUGUUUACUGCUGUCUGUCCCCCUUUUUUUAUUACAUUUCUUUUUCUAACCUAUUUUAUGUUUUUAUUUAGGUCCUCAUGGUCUCAUUUUAUGUCGUAGGGUUCUUGUAUUGUCUGGGUUUCUUAUGACAAAUGAAAUUGGCCUUCAAUUCGGAGGCCUUGUUUUUAACUGAGCUUUUGUUUUUUAUUCAUUUUUAUUUCCAUGUGCUGAUGCUUUGCAACUGUUUGUCAAAGCAUGUUGUAAACUUUUGUUUUUAAAAGUGCUAUCAAAAUAAAGUUUUUAUUAUUAUUAUUAUUAUUAUAAUUAUUAUUAUUAUUAUUAUAAUUGGUUUGGAAAUGUUGAAGCUUCCUUGUCUCUAAAAGCUUCGGUAGGAAUCAUAGGACAUCCACACAGUCUAUUCUGUCCAACCUUUUACAAGACCUUGGUAUGGGGUUUCCUUUCAAAUGGCUUUGUAAACAUGGUUUUAAGACUCCAAUAUUUGCCUUUCAAUUGGUUCAAUAAAUCAAUCUAUUACCAAAGCUUAAGUGAAAAAAAGUUGUCGUGCAUGUGCAUGCCCUUGACACCUGAGAUGUGAUGAAGUGAAAAAAGAGCAAAGAUCACGGCGCUGUUUCCUCCUCGGGCUGCUGAUGAGGAAGCGGAGACUGCACUGAGCUGAAAGCUGAGUCAACUUCAGUAAUCUACAGCCUGAUGUUGACUCUGUGAUAAUUGGUCUGUGGUCUUAAUGAGCUUAACUAGAUAAGUCUGGGGGAAGGGGGGGGGGGGGUCCUGCAAGGCUCAGUAUGGAAGCUCACACAGCAGGCUGCUGCACAGAAGCUGGGUCAUUAAUCUAAACAGAUCACAUUGCUGUUGUUCAAAACAAUCUAAAGGUGACAGUGAAUCAAAUGGUAUCAGACCACAUGAUUAAGAACAAGAGUGGACAUUUAGUCACACCAUCAGAAAAAGACUGAGUUGUUUGGUGAAGCAUUAAAAAAUCUGUGGAAAGAGAUCGUAUUGAUUUUGACAAUGAUUUAAAAAUGCAGACUUGUCAAACUUUAGAUGGUUGUACCAAGAAAAAUAACUUUUUUUUGUUUGUUUGCAUUUGAGGACAGAGUUCAUGUUUCAAACUGCAUUAAAAAUAUAUAUUUUUAAAAAUCACUUGUUGAAACAGUAUGCAAGACUUUAGAAAAAUCGACCAUGGUCAAAAAAAUAAAUGCCACAAUAUCACAGGACAGGAAAACGUCGCUCAUGUGAACGCUUGUAUUGACAGGAUACCAGUUCCAAAAAAAUAUUGAUGUCCGAAAUAAUCGCACGUUUCUUAACAUCUCUUGCCAAAGAAAAAGCUCCACAGGUACUUUUUUUGUUGAGCCUAACUUCAAUAAUAAACUCAGUGCACUAAUGAACGAUUAUAUUUCAUACCAUAACAAUUAAGCUGUACAGGAUCAUAGAAAAAGUCAAAGUGACUGACUGGUGUCUCAAAUGUUGGUCCACGUGUUCAUUAAGCCUGGACUUCUCUAUUGUUUGCAGACAUGCAGACCUGAGUGGAUGUACAGAGACUUGUCCUUGCAGGGUGAUUGAUUAGUCCAUCAUUGGCCAUCAGAGGACCCCCCCUCCUCCUCAUCCAGAGACACUCAAAGAAAUAUCAGCACAUG